UGAGUAACGCGUGAGCAACCUGCCUCACAGAGGGGGAUAACACACGGAAACGUGUGCUAAUACCGCAUAAUCCGAUGAAGCGGCAUCGCUUUAUCGGCAAAGGAGCAAUCCGCUGUGAGAUGGGCUCGCGUCCGAUUAGAUAGUUGGUGAGGUAACGGCUCACCAAGUCUACGAUCGGUAGCCGGACUGAGAGGUUGGACGGCCACAUUGGGACUGAGACACGGCCCAAACUCCUACGGGAGGCAGCAGUGAGGGAUAUUGCACAAUGGGCGAAAGCCUGAUGCAGCGACGCCGCGUGAGGGAUGACGGUCUUCGGAUUGUAAACCUCUGUCCUUGGUGAAGAAGAAAGUGACGGUAGCCAAGGAGGAAGCCACGGCUAACUACGUGCCAGCAGCCGCGGUAAUACGUAGGUGGCAAGCGUUGUCCGGAAUUACUGGGUGUAAAGGGAGCGUAGGCGGGCUUGCAAGUCAGCUGUGAA
RNAcentral lists this ribosomal RNA (478 nucleotides) under uncultured bacterium. RNAcentral's name for it is "bacterial SSU rRNA". It matches the Rfam family "Bacterial small subunit ribosomal RNA", at positions 107 to 598 of the family's 1533-position model. The record is from RNAcentral.